AAUAAUUCAUUAAAUGCAACUGUUAUGAUUCAUUUAGAAUUCACUCCAAUUCUGAAAUGAUAAAUGACAGUGCAUUUAUGUAUAAAUGACAGUGUAUUCAUCUCCCCAAAGCUGGUCACAAGUGCCCUCACUGCUCUGGAGUAAAACAUGGGCUAGAAACAAGGAAGCAAAGACUUAAAAACAGCAUCAUGUUUAUUCACUGGAGAAAAAGACAAACAGUUCAACUGCCUGCUUCACUUUGCCUUCAAGUUUAUCAAGAUGAGGCCGAGAAUUCUCAUAAACUCCUCAAGGACACCAAAAGGAGUUCCUGUAGACUCACUCAGAGUCCUUUCCCUCCUCUCCCUCAAGCAGUGCCCACCUCUUUUCAGGAAGCAUCUUCUCUUUUCCAUUUGACUUUCAUAAAGAAGCUGGAGUUUUAUUUUUCCUUGGCCUCCAAUCUGUGCUUUGGGCUGUGCCAUAAAAUUCCUCAGUAAUUUAUGACCUGUUUUUCCUUUAAAGUGGAGAAGCACUAAUCCCUCACAGAGUGGGGAGACAAGCAUUUCCAAAGUGAGGUAAUCUAGAAAUAUAUGCACUGACCACAGUGAGUUGGGCCCUGACUUACAAUUGAAGGCUCAUGUAAAGAUCCCUAGCCCUUGACACAGAGUAUGAUCUCAGAAAUAGCCUGGUCUCCAGUUAGUACCUGGUUUGACAGAGUCCUCUUGACCCAAAAGUCCAUCUUUUCCUGUCACUGAUAUCUGAAAAUUCCAGACAUUGCCAUGUCACCCUCCAGAUAAAGGAAGGCCUCCUCCACAGCACUCUUCUAAAGCACCAGUCUUAUAUAUCUCAUUACGGCCAUCUACCUCAGUGUAAAUGAGUUUAUACUCAGCCAAGAGGAAGUGAGGAAUCCUGGCUGGGCCCCAGGCUUGGAGGGGCUCAGAAGUGGAAGGAGCGUGCACAAAACCUGAAAUCAGUCUUUGACUCCUUCACAUUUUCGCCGCAAGUCAACCCCAAUGAUCACGCUUACAUCUUUGCAAGUAGCUUUUAAAAAAUAUUUUCCAAUAAACACAAGGAAAUGAAAUAUUGAGAUACACCUUCAAAAGAGAGUUGAUGAGCAGCAAACAUUCUGGGUCCAAUCAAGCAACAAUUGAUUUGUGAACAGAAGGAGCAAGAGUUCAAUUGCACUUGGAUAAUAUUCACCCUGACCUGAUUCAGGAAAGAGGAGGAAGAGUGGGUCUCUGUCCUCAGCCAAUGUAAUUCCAUAGGAACGAUCCCUGGAACCAUGAUAUUGGCUUUGCUACUGCUUUAUAAAUGUCACUCACUAAAGACAGAACAAGGAUGAACUCCUAGAAUAUUAUUCAGAAAAUCUGGCUAAUAGGGGCCUUGUUUGCACUUCUAUUUUCAUAUACUCUACAAACACUUGUUCAACCUAAGCUUUUCUCUCUUCUGUAGUCAAGUGUCUAUAAACAACACUUGGGAUCCUAGUUUAAAAAACAAAGUUUUAGUCUUUAUGAUAAAAAUAUUAACAUAAAUGGAUAAUGAUUAUUUCCUCCUCACCAUGUUAGUUUCUCUUGGCCAGCAGCCCUAAAUAUGUCGUAUUAACUUUAAAUAGUAGGGUCCAGAUUCUAAGACAGUGUUUCCCAAAUGACAUCAAGAGAUGUAAGUACUGUCCCUAAAUGUGUGUUGAACAAUCAAAUACAGUUGGAAACACUGCUCGCUCAAUUGCCAUCCAGAAAACUGAUGGAAAAUAGCCUAUCGAAGGCUGUAAAAAAAAGUCCUGCAAUAAAUGUUUAGCUUCAUUUA
Molecule: long non-coding RNA, 1779 nt
Organism: Homo sapiens (human)
Lineage: Eukaryota; Metazoa; Chordata; Mammalia; Primates; Hominidae
Gene: PRKCE-AS1
Product: PRKCE antisense RNA 1
Exons: 2
Source: RefSeq, a predicted model, not a curated record